This 339-nucleotide ribosomal RNA is filed under the name Burkholderia gladioli. RNAcentral's name for it is "bacterial SSU rRNA". It matches the Rfam family "Bacterial small subunit ribosomal RNA", at positions 20 to 358 of the family's 1533-position model. The record is from RNAcentral. Lineage: Bacteria; Pseudomonadati; Pseudomonadota; Betaproteobacteria; Burkholderiales; Burkholderiaceae.
UGGCUCAGAACGAACGCUGGCCCGCAUGCCUUACACAUGCAAGUCGAACGGCAGCACGGGUGCUUGCACCUGGUGGCGAGUGGCGAACGGGUGAGUAAUACAUCGGAACAUGUCCUGUAGUGGGGGAUAGCCCGGCGAAAGCCGGAUUAAUACCGCAUACGAUCCACGGAUGAAAGCGGGGGACCUUCGGGCCUCGCGCUAUAGGGUUGGCCGAUGGCUGAUUAGCUAGUUGGUGGGGUAAAGGCCCACCAAGGCGACGAUCAGUAGCUGGUCUGAGAGGACGACCAGCCACACUGGGACUGAGACACGGCCCAGACUCCUACGGGAGGCAGCAGUGGG